Oncorhynchus kisutch (coho salmon) is the source of this 2123-nucleotide RNA transcript. It is a transcript of the gene named cytokine dependent hematopoietic cell linker, with no coding region annotated. The record is from RefSeq and is a predicted model, not a curated record. Lineage: Eukaryota; Metazoa; Chordata; Actinopteri; Salmoniformes; Salmonidae. The transcript has 15 exons.
ACCACAGGAAAGAGGCUGACCUUGUGCACCUGUACUGCUGCUGCAGAGCUUUCGGGUUACACUGCAGACAGACACAGAGACAUUGUGGUGUCCUAAAACUGUUCUCAUCAAAAACAGGGCCAAAAAGUUCUAAAGUAUCCAUACUGAGGCCUGGAUUGUACUGUGGGUGGAUAAUGGUGCAAUAUUUUGCAUUCUACUUAUAAGGAACCUUGGAAGAGAGGCAACAUGACCAAACAGAGAUAUGGUCGCUAUAGCAACAUGGAGGAGGAUGAGUAUCAUGUCCCUGAUAACCAUGAAGAAGAGUUCUUGGUGCACAUCCUUCCUGCCAGAGCCUCCGAGUCAGACAGAGACUAUGCAGAUAGGGACAUUUCCAGAUCCUCCUACGCUCAGAGUAUCAGCUCCACUUCAAGUGGCAGCCCUAUCAUACCCCCACGGCAUCCCAAAAGAGGCCUCCCUUGUACUUCUCCAGGAAAUACCGGACCUUCUGUCAACCGCCAACUGAAGCCCAGAAAACCAAGGAGGACCCAGUUAGAUGGCAGAGCACAAGUCAUGGAGCCUACAGAACAGAACAUGCUACUCCCACCAAGGUCCCCACCAUCCUUACCGAAGGACCUAAUGAACAAGCUGUCUGGGCUGAACCUCCAGAGGCCCUGCAGGAGAGACAGACAGAGAAGACAACAAAAUGUGGAAUGCAAUACACCCUCAAAUAGUAAUUGUUUAAGGAGAGAGCAAACUAUCCAAAGAUAUUCACUGGACCUUGAAUCUCAACUCAACACAGACAUAAGGUUACAACAAAGGCACAAUACCCCAGAAGAGUCCUCAGUGAAGCGCCAACAACACCAUGAGUGGCCUCAAACCAAAGAUGACGUGGAGCAGCAUGACUUUGUCCCCAAGGAAAGACCGUGUCAGACAUACAAUGAACAAGACUGGUACAUAGGAGCUUGUGAUCGAGCAGAGGCUGAACAUGCCUUACACCUGGUGAAUAAGGUUUGUAAUGUGAGGUGUUAUUUAAGUAAUGAGGCACGAAGGGAGCACUGUAUAUGUCACGACUUCUGCCGAAGGCGUUGCCUCUCCUUGUUCGGGCGGUGCUCGGCGGUCGACGUCACCGGCCUUCUAGCCAUCAUUGAUCCAUUUUUCAUUUUCCAUUGGUUUUGUCUUGUCUUCCCACACACCUGUUUUCAAUCCCAUUCAUUACCUGUUGUGUAUUUAACCCUCUGUUUCCCCUCGUGUCUUUGUCAGAGAUUGUUUUAUGUCAAGUGUUGUUUUAUGUUGCACAGGUGCGCGACGGGUCCUCGUACCCAUGUUCGUUUAUGUAUGUACGUAUUUAGUGUUUGGAGCAUGUUAAGUGGACUUAUAUUAAAAGACUCCAUUUACACUCCGUUUGACUCUCCUGCGCCUGACUUCCCUGCCACCUAUACACACGACUCUGACAGUAUAUUUUAAUGUACAGUAGUAAUUAAGUAAUAUUAAUGAUACAAUCUAUAUAAAAUGAUUACGUACUGCUUAUGAAUGUGUUAUGUAUGGGUUGUAACUAUGAAGUCAUUGUAUAUGUACUCUUUCAAUAAAGUGUUACCCAAAUUUCUCCCUAACAGAAUGGGGCAUUUUUGGUGCGGAAUUGCUCAAGGAACACGAAGAGCGAACCCUUUGUCUUAGCAGUGUUUCAUGACAAGAGAGUUUUCAACGUUCAAAUUCGGUUCAUUGAUAGCACCUCCAAGUAUGUCCUUGGGACUGGGCAAAGUGCCAAUGAUAUGUUUGAUUCUGUGGCAGACAUCGUCAGAUUUCACUCCAUAUUCCCUGUCGUCCUGAUCAAUGGGAGGAACCAAUUAGCUAACAGAUAUCAGGGGAACUGUGUGUUGACAUACCCAAUCACAAAAGAGGUUGUCAACCAACUGUUGGAAUGAAAGGCCCUCUGUGCCCAAGCAAUAACUAUCACAUUUUGUCUGAGUUGAUCCAAUGGAUUUGUCUGUAUUUAUCUGUUUUGUAAUGUGCUAUAUUUUACUAUAAAUUGUCACAUUUCGCUCUCUACUCUGUACAUAGACUCACCAUUGUCUUGCCUCUGAGUACAUGUACUGUAUAAACAUUAUGUAAACUUGCCUAAAUAAAAAGUUUUAAGGAAGCAUUGA